UCCCGCAAGGGAUGAGUAGAGUGGCAAACGGGUGAGUAACGCGUGGGCGACCUACCUUCGAGUGGGGGAUAACCUUCCGAAAGGAGGGCUAAUACCGCAUGACAUCCCGUGUUUGGAUACACGGACAUCAAAGCCGGGGAUCGCAAGACCUGGCGCUUGAAGAGGGGCCCGCGUCCGAUUAGCUAGUUGGUGGGGUAAUGGCUCACCAAGGCUCCGAUCGGUAUCCGGCCUGAGAGGGCGGACGGACACACUGGGACUGAGACACGGCCCAGACUCCUACGGGAGGCAGCAGUGGGGAAUUGUUCGCAAUGGGCGCAAGCCUGACGACGCAACGCCGCGUGGAGGAUGAAGACCUUCGGGUCGUAAACUCCUUUCGACCGAGAUGAAGACCGAUCGGCCUAACAUGCCGAUCGAUUGACAGUAUCGAGGGAAGCAGCCCCGGCUAACUCCGUGCCAGCAGCCGCGGUAAUACGGGGGGGGCAAGCGUUGUUCGGAAUUACUGGGCGUAAAGGGUUUGUAGGUGGCUCGCUAAGUCACACGUGAAAUCCCUCAGCUUAACUGGGGAACUGCGUGUGGGACUGGCAAGCUCGAGUGCAGGAGAGGAAUGCGGAAUUCCAGGUGUAGCGGUGAAAUGCGUAGAUAUCUGGAGGAACACCGGUGGCGAAGGCGGCAUUCUGGACUGCAACUGACACUGAUAAACGAAAGCCAGGGGAGCAAACGGGAUUAGAUACCCCGGUAGUCCUGGCCCUAAACGAUGAAUGCUUGGUGUGGCGGGUAUCGAUCCCUGCCGUGCCGUANUUAACGCGUUAAGCA
RNAcentral lists this ribosomal RNA (813 nucleotides) under uncultured Pseudomonadota bacterium. Its description in RNAcentral is "bacterial SSU rRNA". It matches the Rfam family "Bacterial small subunit ribosomal RNA", at positions 75 to 866 of the family's 1533-position model. The record is from RNAcentral. Lineage: Bacteria; Pseudomonadati; Pseudomonadota.